AUUGAACGCUGGCGGCAUGCUUUACACAUGCAAGUCGAGCGGCAGCGCGGGGGGCAACCCUGGCGGCGAGCGGCGAACGGGUGAGGAAUACAUCGGAACGUACCCCGGAGUGGGGGAUAACGCCGCGAAAGCGGCGCUAAUACCGCAUAUGCUCUGAGGAGGAAAGUGGGGGGACCUGCAAGGGCCUCACGCUCUGGGAGCGGCCGAUGUCCGAUUAGCUAGUUGGUGGGGUAAAGGCCCACCAAGGCGACGAUCGGUAGCUGGUCUGAGAGGAUGAUCAGCCACACUGGGACUGAGACACGGCCCAGACUCCUACGGGAGGCAGCAGUGGGGAAUUUUGGACAAUGGGGGCAACCCUGAUCCAGCCAUGCCGCGUGCGGGAAGAAGGCCU
This 391-nucleotide ribosomal RNA is filed under the name uncultured bacterium. Its description in RNAcentral is "bacterial SSU rRNA". It matches the Rfam family "Bacterial small subunit ribosomal RNA", at positions 28 to 417 of the family's 1533-position model. The record is from RNAcentral.